Molecule: long non-coding RNA, 640 nt
Organism: Oreochromis aureus
Lineage: Eukaryota; Metazoa; Chordata; Actinopteri; Cichliformes; Cichlidae
Exons: 3
Source: RefSeq, a predicted model, not a curated record
ACGUGACUUAAAGCGGGGUGAACGGACCGUUCAUUCAGACAUCUUCUGAAACAUCAGGAUUCAUCAGGUCUACAGUGAAGUCAACAUGAAGACUCUCAGCCUGACAGUGGGACUGCUGCUCGUGCUGUUCACCGUUUACCACAGCGAUGCCUCUAAGGCAGUGAAUUCACCUGACUUUUGCUGUUUUCACUUCUUUGACAAACGGAUCCCAAAGGCGCACAUCGUCUCCAUCGUGAAAACUCACAGACAAUGCUCCACACCAGCAUUUGUGAUCAAGACACCCAGAAGGCUUUUGUGUGUUAAACAAACUGCAGAGUGGGCAAAGGAACAAUUUGUCAACCAAAAGAGAUAAAAAAAAUUGAACAAAUGCUACAAUUAACAGAUAAAAAAUCAUUAUGUUAAACCUCGGAUAAAUAAAUUUCAGUAUUUAGUAUAUGGACAAAAGUAUUGGAUCACAUCUGAAUCUCUGAAUUCAGGCAUUUUCAGUCUUGUUGCCACAGGUGUAUAAAAUCAAACAAAAUGCCAUGUAGUCUGCACAAACACUUGUGAACGACUGAGUUGUGUCAUGUUGACCCAGCUUGAUGUGACAAUAUCUCAAAGAGCUUCAUCUGAUGAGGAAAGUUUAUAAUGCAACAAUAUG